Bactrocera tryoni is the source of this 291-nucleotide long non-coding RNA. RefSeq lists it as uncharacterized. The transcript has 2 exons. NCBI's taxonomy places the organism in Eukaryota, Metazoa, Arthropoda, Insecta, Diptera, Tephritidae. The record is from RefSeq and is a predicted model, not a curated record.
UUUUUCUAUUGUGUGCACUAUGUGAUGCACGAUAUCGGUUUAUCUACAUAGAUAUUGGUGACAAUGGAAGUCGGAGUAAUGGUGGAAAGAUCGCAGACGAACAAUUUUCCGCUUGUUUGUCGCACAUAUUCACUGUUUGAAGAACGAACGGAAAAUGUAUUUGUAUGUCAUGUAUGGCGAAACGAUUUCAUACAGAUCGAAGGCACAUGUGUGUUGUGUAUGGCCCCUUUAAUAUGGAUAAGAUGAUACGAAACUCUUUGAUUCGAGAGAGAGCUGUCAAAAUUCACAUUU